Molecule: non-coding RNA, 909 nt
Organism: Paramuricea clavata
Lineage: Eukaryota; Metazoa; Cnidaria; Anthozoa; Malacalcyonacea; Plexauridae
Source: the annotation of a GenBank genome assembly
UUCAGAUAUUUCGUAGCGCUAUAAUUGGCCGUCCAAAAAUACUUGGGAUGUACUUAGUUUCUAUGCAAGGGGAAUGAUGGCAAAGAGAAUCUCUUACUCAAGAGGGAGAGGUUUUGCACACACUAGGGCAUGUUGAUAAUGAAUUCAAUUUCAAAAUGUCAAAAAUGAUGAUAUGCACUGGGUUAUGAUCAAAUUGAAUUGAUUCCAUUGCUUUCAAUAUAUCUGAUUUGACCGUUUGAUCUACUGCAUGUAACAGAGGUUAUCAACUUAUCAGUAUGGAAUACAUAAUGUAGUUAGCAAGACGUAGAGGCACCUUUAGCUUGUAACCAUCUCCAUGGGAUGGUGUGGAAAUUUUUUCUUAGAAUUCGUAUUCAUGCUUACUGUAUGCUAAUAGGUCUUGACGACUUUAUAGUGCCAACAAAGUAUUUGAAAUCACCCUGGAUAGCCCACUUACAUCUGGAAAGUCUGUGAAAGUAACUGUUGAUAUGGUAUUCUCUCAUGGCUUGAGGACAUUCCCUGAGAAAAUUGGCCAAGCGGAAAAACAAAAUGUUCUGUUCGAAGGAAAUCAUUAUUUCUGAUCCUGAUUUAAGUUUUUCAGAUAUUUAGUAGCCUAUAACAGGUUGAGUCAUUUGGUCUACAUACUGUAGCUUUUCAAAUUUCUUUUUAUAGACAGUUUUAGUAACUUUUGAAAAUUGAAAAAUCGCGCUGCGUUACAAAAUUGGAUUCGAUGUGUCUGGGCUUUUACGUUAUCAUUUAGAAGUGUCAAACAUCGUUAUUGUCUUGUCCGUUGUCGACUUCUGUGAACUCUGCGUGCGCGAGAAAGUGCGCAAUCCAUAACUUGGAGUGAACAAUAAUUCCAGACACAAGUACUGACUGAAUUGUUGUGUGACAACAAGGGAGGCACAUGUC